Molecule: ribosomal RNA, 539 nt
Filed under: Fusarium solani
Lineage: Eukaryota; Fungi; Ascomycota; Sordariomycetes; Hypocreales; Nectriaceae
Description: eukaryotic LSU rRNA
Rfam family: 5.8S ribosomal RNA (bases 182-335)
Source: RNAcentral
UUCCGUAGGUGAACCUGCGGAGGGAUCAUUACCGAGUUAUACAACUCAUCAACCCUGUGAACAUACCUAAAACGUUGCUUCGGCGGGAACAGACGGCCCUGUAACAACGGGCCGCCCCCGCCAGAGGACCCCUAACUCUGUUUUUAUAAUGUUUUUCUGAGUAAACAAGCAAAUAAAUUAAAACUUUCAACAACGGAUCUCUUGGCUCUGGCAUCGAUGAAGAACGCAGCGAAAUGCGAUAAGUAAUGUGAAUUGCAGAAUUCAGUGAAUCAUCGAAUCUUUGAACGCACAUUGCGCCCGCCAGUAUUCUGGCGGGCAUGCCUGUUCGAGCGUCAUUACAACCCUCAGGCCCCCGGGCCUGGCGUUGGGGAUCGGCGGAAGCCCCCUGUGGGCACACGCCGUCCCUCAAAUACAGUGGCGGUCCCGCCGCAGCUUCCAUUGCGUAGUAGCUAACACCUCGCAACUGGAGAGCGGCGCGGCCUUGCCGUAAAACACCCAACUUCUGAAUGUCGACCUCGCGGACAAGUACGCUUUCUCGG